This 448-nucleotide ribosomal RNA is filed under the name uncultured bacterium. RNAcentral's name for it is "partial 16S ribosomal RNA". It matches the Rfam family "Bacterial small subunit ribosomal RNA", at positions 329 to 792 of the family's 1533-position model. The record is from RNAcentral.
GACCAGACUCCUACGGGAGGCAGCAGUGGGGAAUAUUGCACAAUGGGGGGAACCCUGAUGCAGCGACGCCGCGUGGGCGAGGAAGUAUUUCGGUAUGUAAAGCCCUAUCGGCAGGGAAGAAGAAAUGACGGUACCUGAAUAAGAAGCACCGGCUAAAUACGUGCCAGCAGCCGCGGUAAUACGUAUGGUGCAAGCGUUAUCCGGAUUUACUGGGUGUAAAGGGGGCGCAGACGGCGAUGCAAGCCAGGAGUGAAAGCCCGGGGCCCAACCCCGGGACUGCUCUUGGAACUGCGUGGCUGGAGUGCAGGAGGGGCAGGCGGAAUUCCUGGUGUAGCGGUGAAAUGCGUAGAUAUCAGGAGGAACACCGGUGGCGAAGGCGGCCUGCUGGACUGCAACUGACGUUGAGGCCCGAAAGCGUGGGGAGCAAACAGGAUUAGAUACCCCUGUA